GACAGAGGGGGCGAGCGUUGUCCGGAGUCACUGGGCGUAAAGCGCGCGCAGGCGGCAACCUUAGUGUCGUGUGAAAGCCCCCGGCUCAACCGGGGGAGGCCAUGGCAAACUGGGUCGCUCGAGCUGCGGAGAGGCUCCUCGAAUUGCCGGUGUAGCGGUGAAAUGCGUAGAGAUCGGCAGGAAGACCAAGGGGGGAAGCCAGGGGGCUGGCCGCAGGCUGACGCUGAGGCGCGACAGCGUGGGGAGCAAACCGG
This 254-nucleotide ribosomal RNA is filed under the name uncultured bacterium. RNAcentral describes it as "partial 16S ribosomal RNA". It matches the Rfam family "Bacterial small subunit ribosomal RNA", at positions 524 to 776 of the family's 1533-position model. The record is from RNAcentral.